Molecule: ribosomal RNA, 434 nt
Filed under: uncultured bacterium
Lineage: Bacteria
Description: partial 16S ribosomal RNA
Rfam family: Bacterial small subunit ribosomal RNA
Source: RNAcentral
AGCGAACGCUGGCGGCAGGCCUAACACAUGCAAGUCGAACGAACCUUUCGGGGUUAGUGGCGGACGGGUGAGUAACACGUGGGAACGUGCCUUUAGGUUCGGAAUAACUCAGGUAAACUUGUGCUAAUACCGAAUGUGCCCUUCGGGGGAAAGAUUUAUCGCCUUUAGAGCGGCCCGCGUCUGAUUAGCUAGUUGGUUGAGGUAAUGGCUCACCAAAGCGACGAGCAGUAGCUGGUCUGAGAGGAUGCUCAGUCACAUUGGGGCUGAGACACGGCCCAAACUGCUACGGAAGGCAGCAGAGGGGAAUCUUGCGCGAUGGGCGAAAGCCUGACGCAGCCAUGCCGCGUGAAUGAUGCAGGUCUUAGGAUUGUAAAAUUCUUUCACCGGGGACGAUAAUGACGGUACCCGGAGAAGAAGCCCCGGCUAACUUCGUG